UGGAAACCUAAGCAGAAAGGAGCGUGUGAAUGUGGCCAUCAUCAGGGAUAAAUUAAUCCCAGACAUGUAAAGGGUUUUCUUUUUUCAUUCUCAGCCCUACUGCAAAUUCAAUUAUGACUCUCUGCCAGCUACUGAAAUGAGGGGACAAGAUCCAGGAAAGAGUUGCAGUCAUUCCUGGAUCCCCCCCAUGGAUCGAACCUUGGGGCAGCAGCCAGGUGCCAUCCGAGGACGGAGAACCGGCGGAAAUCGGGCUGCGCUCAGAGCUGAACGAGGAGGUGACUGCGUGCGGGACCAGAGCAUAGGCGGGCAAAGGCUCCCCGAUGAGAAAUUUGAGAGAACGACCAGCAGCAAGAAGAGAAUAAAAGAGCCACUAAUCCCAUCACCCAGAAAGAACCACUGUUGGCACAUAGGUGUCUCUAGAAUUUUCCAUCUGAGUACGCAAUGUAUGUUGGGAUUUUUAAAGAACAUGAUCUCACUGCACACUGGGGCUUACAGCCACCAUCCUGUGACUCUCCAUCCACCUCGCUGAGCGUGCUGCUACAACAUGGUUUUAUGGUUCCAAGACAGUCUAUCAUGUGGAUAAGCCACACUUUAUGUAGCCAGGCCCGUAUCGAUGGACUUUAAGGUAGUCUCCUUCCUUUCUUUUUUUUCUCUUUUCUUUUGGAACAUCUUGUCCACAGGGCUUUUCACUGGCCAUUCUGGGAGGCUAUUUUGAAGUGUCUAAGCAGUCCUUGACAUACGAGGUGGGAGAAGUCUCCUCUGGUUGUCAGAGAUCAGGACGGGGGUCUGGGCUGAAUGACCGGGUCCCUGUUUCCUUGUUUAGGGCAGGGGCCCCUUCGGUCUCUCAGCGACCCCCAGGCAAAGGCUGAAUCACUGGGAACACGGAGGAGAGAGGACUCACUAGGAGAACUAGGUUUUCCCGGCAGCUGUCCACAAACAGUGCUGCUCGUGGAGGAAGGCAAUUUCUGGGCUGCCAGGCUGCCCACAAAGGCCUGGGGUGGGGUUGGGUGGGGAGGGCU
Long non-coding RNA from Mirounga angustirostris (Northern elephant seal), 1019 nucleotides. RefSeq lists it as uncharacterized. NCBI's taxonomy places the organism in Eukaryota, Metazoa, Chordata, Mammalia, Carnivora, Phocidae. The record is from RefSeq and is a predicted model, not a curated record. The transcript is spliced from 3 exons.